Molecule: long non-coding RNA, 1428 nt
Organism: Bos taurus (domestic cattle)
Lineage: Eukaryota; Metazoa; Chordata; Mammalia; Artiodactyla; Bovidae
Source: Ensembl
AAAGAAUCCACCUGCAAUGUGGAAGACCCCGGUUCCAUCCCUGGGUGGAGAAGAUCCCCUAGAGAAGGGAUAGGCUUCCCACUCCAGUAUUCUUGGGCUUCCCUCGUGGCUCAGCUGAAUCGGAUCCCAUGGACCUGGUUUCCUCUGGUUAAGCACUUAGGGUUUCAGUCUCAGGAAGCAUGUGCUGGAAAAGUGACCCCAACGCCAUCCUUUUUACAUCAUCUCAACCAACAGGAAUAGCUUGACUGUUUACUCAAGCCCACUGAAGGGGAACACGAGGUGACUCGACUUCUGUUGCUAAGCUUCCGCCAGUAAGCUGUCAUGGAUUUAAAGCUGGAAACUGAGCUAAUUUUCCAGAGAGGCGGGCCUUCUCAGAGGGUCACUGCAGCCCGCUGUCGCCUUGCUUGGAGCACAGGCGGGGUCACAAGCCCCUGAACUCCGAGGGAGAACAAGGGCCUCACUGUUGCCCCCGGAAGGCUGAGCACGAUGUCCAUGGAGCCCCCGGGAGACCCACAGAGAGGAGCAGUGGAGGCUUUCCCACUGCGGACCCACCUUGUUCUCGGUGGACAGGGGGUGAAGACUGACUUAUUUGUGUUCUCAAACUACCUUGGCAGCAGGGCCAGGCACAGCUCACAACAAAUCUGGACCAUCGGCACACCUAAGAAAAACAGACCGAGAGACCAGUGUUUGCCUUCCAUGAAAAGUGCACUGUUUGCUGCAGAAUCGAACUUGCGCCCCUGGAGCAGACGCACAGAGUUUUAUCUGCUGGACCAGAUCUGAAGUUUUAACACCAGAAGUAUCAGUGCCCUUGCGCUUUACCUCUGUUCAACGCUGGAGCCUUUACUGUCUCCAGAGCUGCCCCAGCCUUCUCUUCAAAUUCCAGGCCCAUGGGUCACAGCUACAGAUCAGAGCCCUGCAUGGGAAGAAGGCAGCUUGCACAUCUCCCGUCACCAGUCUUUCCUCCAAACAGCUCAGCCUUGCUCCUGCCAUUUCCACGUUCAUUCCAUCACUUCCCCCUGAAUGCUGCCCCGGGUUCUGAAUGCAGCCUUUGCGUGUGUUCCACCUUGAGGAUGAACAGCAAACAGACACGGCGCCAGAUGGACAUUUGCUAGAAUCUAAUCCUCGGAAAAACAGCCUGAAGCGACUUUAAAAUAGCAACACACCGGUGACACUGGGUGACCAGGGGACCUGUUGUAAACAGCAACUUAAUAAAAUAAAACCCUGGUGACAGUUUUAAAAUCCUCACCAAACAUUUUGGGACUAAAGGCAAUAUUUUUAUAGCUCCUAUUCCCUGGCUGUAAAUGUCGGCUUUUUCUUAAAUAGCCCUUUCAGAGGCCCAGGUGCAGCCCAGGGGACAAGCUGAUGACAACAUGCUGCUCCAUAAAAGAGCGACUGUUCGGCCUCCAGGAAAACCCAGCGAGGCCCGUG